This 1374-nucleotide unclassified non-coding RNA is filed under the name Hevea brasiliensis (rubber tree). Lineage: Eukaryota; Viridiplantae; Streptophyta; Magnoliopsida; Malpighiales; Euphorbiaceae. The record is from RNAcentral.
GAAAGAUGACAGCAUCAAGUUUUGUAUCUAUGGCUGAAAAGAUUAUUAAGCCUCAUUCUCCUACCCCUUUUUCAGUUAAGCGUUACAAUCUUUGUCUAAUGGAUGAAAUCAUGGUUCCAGUCUACAUGCCAAUUGUAGCCUUUUAUCCUAACCCCUCUAAAACACCAGAACAAGUAUCCAACAUACUUGAAGAUUCACUAUCCAAAGUUUUAUCCUCUUACUAUCCAUUUGCUGGAACACUCGGAUCAGAUAACGCUACUUUUGUCGAUUGCAAUGACAGGGGAGCUAAAUCUAUACAGGUUCGAUACGAUUGUCCAAUGUCUGAAAUAGUCAAUCUUCCGGAUACUGGCCCUGAAUAUCUACCUUUUGCUAAAGGUACGCCUUGGAGUUCAACUCCAGAGGAACAAAGUUUACUAGUUGUUCAAUUAAGCCAUUUUAAUUGCGGAGGAUUAGGUAUAAGUGCUAGGCUAUCCCAUAAAAUUGCUGAUGGAUGCACGCUCGCCAAUUUCAUUAGUGAUUGGGCUUCCGUAGCUCGUGAUGACAACGCGAAUAUACCUUCCCCUCAAUUGAUUGGAUCGUCCAUUUUUCCGCCAUUCACUGAAAUGCGCAUUCACACGGAUACUAACGUUGAUUAUGAGUUUUACAAUCUACCCGUUUGUAAAAAAAGGUACUUGUUUUCCAACGCGAAACUUGAGAUGCUGAAAACCCAAGUGGAAUCAGAAACAGGGGUGCAAAAUCCAACUCGAAUUGAAGUGCUGUCCGCACUAAUUUACAAGUGUGCUGUAACAGCAAACUCGAGCUCGUUUAGACCAUCCUCGUUGUCACUGCCGGUGAAUUUACGUCCGAUACUGAAUCCACCGCUAGAAACACGGACAGUAGGGAAUAUUAUUAGUUUUAUCAAAGUGGAAACAACGAGUGAGGAUGAAAUGACAAUCGGGAGAGUGGUUCGCGAGAUUAGGAAAGGUAAAGACGAAUUGAAGCAGGAAGGGGGUGUGAAGAAGGAGAAGCUAGUUUCGCUAUGGAGUGAGUGGAUACAUUCGAUUGACUUGUACAGAAGUAGCAGUGUUUGCAAUUACCCAUUGAAUAAUUUGGAUUUUGGAUGGGGAAAACCAAACAGGGUAGCAAUUCCUGUAUUUGGAGUUGCAAACACCUGCAUGUUUAUGGAUAAUCUAAGUGGAGAUGGAAUUGAGGUAAUUAUUGCAUUACCAGAAAAAGAUGCGACUCAAUUUGAGAAUAGCAAAGAGCUUCUCCACUUUGCUUCUCCAGUUACGAAUCUCUAGUUUUUUCUAUGCUUAUCAAUAAAGCGUUCGAUUAGUAGUUAGUCGAGUACCAAUAAUUGCAUUAUCAAUUUGAGAAUAAUAAAUUGCUUCUCCA